CUUGGAACUUACUAGGUCCUGACAGCUAUCUUAUUCUUGCAUCCUGUCUGAUCUUCCAGGAAUACCAUAACCUCCGCGCUGCUGCCUUCAACUCCCAGGCUCAGGAGCUGGGCCAGAAAACCGAGGACCUGACCAACAGCCGGAGAGCCAAUGCCGACUUGAGGGAGCAGCUCAGCGGGGCCCAGACCGCCCUUCGUGCCAAGGAAGCCGAGUGCAACGCCUUAGUCCUGGAGCGCGACCGCCCGGCCAAGAAGUUGGCCGACCAGGAGGAGAGCCACAAGGCGGCCCUGAAGAAGGCGCAGGAUAGCGAGGACGCCCUCAAAGCUGAGUUCGAGACCGAAGCGGCGGGCUGGGCUGAGGCAAAACAAGCGCUGAGCGAGGGCUACGGCCGGGUUGAGGAUCUGAUCGAUGACUACUUCCCCGGCUACUCCGUCAUUGCCACCCAGGCCAUCGAGGCCCACCGCGAGGCGCGCCGGCAGGCGG
Molecule: non-coding RNA, 483 nt
Organism: Triticum urartu
Lineage: Eukaryota; Viridiplantae; Streptophyta; Magnoliopsida; Poales; Poaceae
Source: RefSeq, a predicted model, not a curated record